Molecule: long non-coding RNA, 202 nt
Filed under: Elaeis guineensis (African oil palm)
Lineage: Eukaryota; Viridiplantae; Streptophyta; Magnoliopsida; Arecales; Arecaceae
Description: long non-coding RNA (EGUI_LNC077029)
Source: RNAcentral
UAGAUUCGAUCUUACAUAUACUAUCAUCAUCGAUAAUGAACGAUAAUUCGACAAUCAGAACUUCAAAAAAUUUUAUGUGAAAUUUUAUAUUACGCACAAACUCACAUUAGUUGAUCAUCCACAAUCUAAUAAUGAAGUAAAAGUAACAAACUGAAUAAUUUUACAUGAUCUCAAAACCAGAUUGAAUGAAGCUAAAAGCCUC